GGCUCAAUGGUCUAGUCGUAUGAUUCUCGCUUUGGGUACUUAAGUAUCAUAAAUGCGAGAGGUCUCGGGUUCAAUUCCCGAUUGAGCCC
This is a non-coding RNA of Kalaharituber pfeilii, 89 nucleotides long. The record is from the annotation of a GenBank genome assembly. Lineage: Eukaryota; Fungi; Ascomycota; Pezizomycetes; Pezizales; Pezizaceae.